Molecule: ribosomal RNA, 611 nt
Filed under: uncultured bacterium
Lineage: Bacteria
Description: bacterial SSU rRNA
Rfam family: Bacterial small subunit ribosomal RNA
Source: RNAcentral
UAAAAGUGCUGCAAGGCACUGGUAGAGGAUGGACUUAUGGCGCAUUAGCUGGUUGGUGAGGUAACGGCUCACCAAGGCGACGAUGCGUAGCCGACCUGAGAGGGUGACCGGCCACACUGGGACUGAGACACGGCCCAGACUCCUACGGGAGGCAGCAGUAGGGAAUUUUCGGCAAUGGGGGGAACCCUGACCGAGCAACGCCGCGUGAAGGAAGAAGGAAUUCGUUCUGUAAACUUCUGUUAUAAAGGAAGAAAGACGGAUGGAGGAAAUGACAUCCGAGUGACGGUACUUUAUGAGAAAGCCACGGCUAACUACGUGCCAGCAGCCGCGGUAAUACGUAGGUGGCAAGCGUUAUCCGGAAUUAUUGGGCGUAAAGAGGGAGCAGGCGGCAGCAAAGGUCUGUGGUGAAAGACUGAAGCUUAACUUCAGUAAGCCAUAGAAACCGGGCAGCUAGAGUGCAGGAGAGGAUCGUGGAAUUCCAUGUGUAGCGGUGAAAUGCGUAGAUAUAUGGAGGAACACCAGUGGCGAAGGCGACGAUCUGGCCUGCAACUGACGCUCAGUCCCGAAAGCGUGGGGAGCAAAUAGGAUUAGAUACCCUAGUAGUCCACGCC